RNAcentral lists this ribosomal RNA (440 nucleotides) under uncultured bacterium. RNAcentral's name for it is "partial 16S ribosomal RNA". It matches the Rfam family "Bacterial small subunit ribosomal RNA", at positions 338 to 795 of the family's 1533-position model. The record is from RNAcentral.
CCUACGGGAGGCAGCAGUGGGGAAUAUUGCACAAUGGGGGAAACCCUGAUGCAGCGACGCCGCGUGAGUGAAGAAGUAUUUCGGUAUGUAAAGCCCUAUCAGCAGGGAAGAAGGUGACGGUACCUGACUAAGAAGCCCCGGCUAACUACGUGCCAGCAGCCGCGGUAAUACGUAGGGGGCAAGCGUUAUCCGGAUUUACUGGGUGUAAAGGGAGCGUAGACGGCAGCGCAAGUCUGAAGUGAAAUGCCGGGGCUCAACCCCGGGACUGCUUUGGAAACUGCGCAGCUGGAGUGCAGGAGGGGUAAGUGGAAUUCCUAGUGUAGCGGUGAAAUGCGUAGAUAUUAGGAGGAACACCAGUGGCGAAGGCGGCUUACUGGACUGUAACUGACGUUGAGGCUCGAAGGCGUGGGGAGCAAACAGGAUUAGAUACCCGAGUAGUC